This 540-nucleotide ribosomal RNA is filed under the name uncultured Actinomycetes bacterium. RNAcentral describes it as "bacterial SSU rRNA". It matches the Rfam family "Bacterial small subunit ribosomal RNA", at positions 63 to 616 of the family's 1533-position model. Lineage: Bacteria; Bacillati; Actinomycetota; Actinomycetes. The record is from RNAcentral.
CGAGGUCCAUCCGGUGGCAACACUGGAGAAGACCUAGUGGCGAACGGGUGAGUAACACGUGAGUAACCUGCCCCGAAGACUGGGAUAACACCGGGAAACCGGUGCUAAUACCGGAUACCCCCACCAAGUCGCAUGGCUAGGUGAGGAAAUGGAUUCCGCUUCGGGAGGGGCUCGCGACCUAUCAGCUUGUUGGUGGGGUAACGGCCCACCAAGGCUGCGACGGGUAGCUGGUCUGAGAGGACGAUCAGCCACACUGGGACUGAGACACGGCCCAGACUCCUACGGGAGGCAGCAGUGGGGAAUCUUGCGCAAUGGGCGAAAGCCUGACGCAGCAACGCCGCGUGAGGGACGAAGGCCUUCUGGGUUGUAAACCUCUUUCAGCAGGGACGAUUAUGACGGUACCUGCAGAAGAAGCCCCGGCCAACUACGUGCCAGCAGCCGCGGUAAUACGUAGGGGGCGAGCGUUGUCCGGAUUCAUUGGGCGUAAAGAGCUCGUAGGCGGCUUUGCAAGUCGGGUGUGAAACCUCCAGGCUCAACCUG